AGAGUGAACGCUGGCGGUAGGCCUAACACAUGCAAGUCGAACGGCAGCACAGUGGUAGCAAUACCAUGGGUGGCGAGUGGCGGACGGGUGAGGAAUACAUCGGAAUCUACCUUUUCGUGGGGGAUAACGUAGGGAAACUUACGCUAAUACCGCAUACGCCCUUUGGGGGAAAGCCGGGGAUCGCAAGACCUGGCGCGGAUAGAUGAGCCGAUGUCGGAUUAGCUAGUUGGUGAGGUAAAGGCUCACCAAGGCGACGAUCCAUAGCUGGUCUUAGAGGAUGAUCAGCCACACUGGGACUGAGACACGGCCCAGACUCCUACGGGAGGCAGCAGGUGGGGAAU
This 341-nucleotide ribosomal RNA is filed under the name uncultured soil bacterium. Its description in RNAcentral is "bacterial SSU rRNA". It matches the Rfam family "Bacterial small subunit ribosomal RNA", at positions 26 to 362 of the family's 1533-position model. The record is from RNAcentral.